Molecule: ribosomal RNA, 402 nt
Filed under: uncultured bacterium
Lineage: Bacteria
Description: bacterial SSU rRNA
Rfam family: Bacterial small subunit ribosomal RNA
Source: RNAcentral
UAGGGAAUAUUGGUAAUGUGCGAAAGCGCGAACCAGCAACGCCGCGUGCACGAUGAAGGCCUUCGGGUCGUAAAGUGCUUUUAGAGAGGAUGAGGAAGGACAGUACUUUCUGAAUAAGCCUCGGCUAACUACGUGCCAGCAGCCGCGGUAAAACGUAGGAGGCAAGCGUUAUCCGGAUUUACUGGGCGUAAAGCGCAUGCAGGUGGUUUUGUAAGUUGGAUGUGAAAGCUCCUGGCUUAACUGGGAGAGGUCGUUCAAAACUACAAGUCGUGAGAUUGGUAGAGGAAAAUGGAAUUCCGGGUGUAGUGGUGAAAUGCGUAGAUAUCCGGAGGAACACCAGUGGCGAAAGCGGUUUUCUGGACCAAUUCUGACACUCAGAUGCGAAAGCUAAGGUAGCAAACG